This 103-nucleotide non-coding RNA is filed under the name Methylibium sp. NZG. Its description in RNAcentral is "TPP riboswitch aptamer (THI element)". It matches the Rfam family "TPP riboswitch aptamer (THI element)". From Rfam's summary of the family: Vitamin B(1) in its active form thiamin pyrophosphate (TPP) is an essential coenzyme that is synthesised by coupling of pyrimidine and thiazole moieties in bacteria. The previously detected thiamin-regulatory element, thi box was extended, resulting in a new, highly conserved RNA secondary structure, the THI element, which is widely distributed in eubacteria and also occurs in some archaea. Lineage: Bacteria; Pseudomonadati; Pseudomonadota; Betaproteobacteria; Burkholderiales; Sphaerotilaceae. RNAcentral also lists the same sequence under 1 other name. The record is from Rfam by way of RNAcentral.
CACACACGCUAGGGGUGUUGAGGGCCGACAGGCGCUCGACUGAGAAAGUCCCUUUGAACCUGAUUGAGGUAAUCCUCGCGCAGGGAAGCAAGUUCAGCACGCC